CUCAUUCAUCCCCUGAAGUGUAAUCCCUUGAGAUCUCGGAAAUACUCCAUAACCUGAAAACACUCUUUGUUUUGAAGGAUAAGAAAUAAUGGACUGUUUCCACAGGGUCCACUUUCCAGUAUCAGACAGUUUUGAGCCGGAUUCUGAGUUGUUUUACACCACCGCUCCAAAUCAGACAGUUGUUAUCAGCAGGAUGAUUGAUGCCAGCGUGAAGCAAAGGACUGCGAUACAGAAGAGCUACUUCAAGGGAAUGUGACUGGCUAGAUGGAAAGUGAGAGGGGAGAUUUUCCCUGAGAUCUUCAGACAUGUGGACCUCAAGGUACUAUUAAUUUUGUUUAAAGAGUGGGAUGAAGAAUGGGGUGGAGGACAUGUAAGUGAGACGAUGUAAAAACAAAACAAGCC
This 402-nucleotide long non-coding RNA is filed under the name Calidris pugnax (ruff). RNAcentral describes it as "lncRNA (ENSCPUG00000018792.1)". Lineage: Eukaryota; Metazoa; Chordata; Aves; Charadriiformes; Scolopacidae. The record is from RNAcentral.